GAAACGGUAGCUAAUACCGCAUAACGUCGCAAGACCAAAGAGGGGGACCUUAGGGCCUCUUGCCAUCGGAUGUGCCCAGAUGGGAUUAGCUAGUAGGUGGGGUAAAGGCUCACCUAGGCGACGAUCCCUAGCUGGUCUGAGAGGAUGACCAGCCACACUGGAACUGAGACACGGUCCAGACUCCUACGGGAGGCAGCAGUGGGGAAUAUUGCACAAUGGGCGCAAGCCUGAUGCAGCCAUGCCGCGUGUAUGAAGAAGGCCUUCGGGUUGUAAAGUACUUUCAGCGGGGAGGAAGGGAGUAAAGUUAAUACCUUUGCUCAUUGACGUUACCCGCAGAAGAAGCACCGGCUAACUCCGUGCCAGCAGCCGCGGUAAUACGGAGGGUGCAAGCGUUAAUCGGAAUUACUGGGCGUAAAGCGCACGCAGGCGGUUUGUUAAGUCAGAUGUGAAAUCCCCGGGCUCAACCUGGGAACUGCAUCUGAUACUGGCAAGCUUGAGUCUCGUAGAGGGGGGUAGAAUUCCAGGUGUAGCGGUGAAAUGCGUAGAGAUCUGGAGGAAUACCGGUGGCGAAGGCGGCCCCCUGGACGAAGACUGACGCUCAGGUGCGAAAGCGUGGGGAGCAAACAGGAUUAGAUACCCUGGUAGUCCACGCCGUAAACGAUGUCGACUUGGAGGUUGUGCCCUUGAGGCGUGGCUUCCGGAGCUAACGCGUUAAGUCGACCGCCUGGGGAGUACGGCCGCAAGGUUAAAACUCAAAUGAAUUGACGGGGGCCCGCACAAGCGGUGGAGCAUGUGGUUUAAUUCGAUGCAACGCGAAGAACCUUACCUGGUCUUGACAUCCACGGAAGUUUUCAGAGAUGAGAAUGUGCCUUCGGGAACCGUGAGACAGGUGCUGCAUGGCUGUCGUCAGCUCGUGUUGUGAAAUGUUGGGUUAAGUCCCGCAACGAGCGCAACCCUUAUCCUUUGUUGCCAGCGGUCCGGCCGGGAACUCAAAGGAGACUGCCAGUGAUAAACUGGAGGAAGGUGGGGAUGACGUCAAGUCAUCAUGGCCCUUACGACCAGGGCUACACACGUGCUACAAUGGCGCAUACAAAGAGAAGCGACCUCGCGAGAGCAAGCGGACCUCAUAAAGUGCGUCGUAGUCCGGAUUGGAGUCUGCAACUCGACUCCAUGAAGUCGGAAUCGCUAGUAAUCGUGGAUCAGAAUGCCACGGUGAAUACGUUCCCGGGCCUUGUACACACCGCCCGUCACACCAUGGGAGUGGGUUGCAAAAGAAGUAGGUAGCUUAACCUUCGGGAGGGCGCUUACCACUUUGUGAUUCAUGACUGGGGUGAAGUCGUAACAAGGUAACCGUAGGGGAACCUGCGGUUGGAUCACCUCCUUACCUUAAAGAAGC
Molecule: ribosomal RNA, 1396 nt
Filed under: Escherichia coli
Lineage: Bacteria; Pseudomonadati; Pseudomonadota; Gammaproteobacteria; Enterobacterales; Enterobacteriaceae
Description: bacterial SSU rRNA
Rfam family: Bacterial small subunit ribosomal RNA
Source: RNAcentral